AUAUACAUAUAUAUGCAUAUAAACAUUAUUUAUCUAAAUUCUAACUAUUAUUACACAGGUGGUAAGUAGUAGAAUUGGAAUUUGAACUCAGAUCUUUUGAUUUCAGUGAAAUACCCUUAUUAGUCUGACCUGGGUUAGGUACAUUCCCCCUUUAAGAUAUGUGUGUGAGAAAAGGGGCAGGGACAAGACAAUAUGGCCCUAGCAAGAGUAUCUAAUCUUUGAAGAUGAAGGUUCUCAAUGUGGAAUUUUCUUACUUACCUGUCUUCCUGGACGAGGAAGGAAGUUGACUACCAUCUUGACUCUGAUUUUUCCUUCAGUGCCCCAGACCAUGGAACUAAAGAAUGACGUGAUGCAGACCACUCUAAAUCUAAUAAAGGAGGACUCCAAAGUAGUACGGUUGCCUCUACUACAUUUUAUUGAAAAAUUAGGUGUGUGUAACUAUUUCACCCUGCAACAAGGCGAUAUAAUUAUCAACCAUCUCAUCAAUCUCAGUCAGAUUGGAUCCACCACAGUGAGUAGGAAAAGGGAUGAGACCUGGGAUCUAAGGGGGCUACACAGACGAGAAAUGGUAAGAUAGGGCUUGCAAAAAGGCAAUGAGGGUGGUGUUACAGUAUAAUUUUAACUGAGGUAGAUCUCUGAGCAGUUAUUAGCAUACUACCUGUCACUAUAUGGGUCAAUGGCUUGCCUUCAUUUUUGUCAGAGACCCUGAGCAGACAGACAGUCCCUUUUUUAUAGGUUUUAGAGAGAAUAGAACAAAGUAGAGCAAUUAACAUCAUACAAAAUGAUUGGUUACAGAGUUGAGACACAGAAAACAACAUGACUGGUUAGAGGUUUGGGAACUGGGGCUAGCAACAGCCCUCCUUCCUUUCCCAUGAAACCAAGAAGGUCUUUAUUGUUGGGGUCCAGGUGCAAGGCAACAGUCCAGACUUUUGGACAGUAAACCCCUAAUCCUUAAAGGAUAGCUUGGUAGCUAAGGACACUGGGGCCCAAUUCUUUCUUUCUCCUACCAUUCUUAAGGUUCACAAAAUUUCUUGAGGCUACUUAUUGUGGAUUUCCCAACUUACCCCAUUAUAGACCAGCUGAAUUCUGAGCUAAAUUCAGAGACAAAGAACUAUGACUGAAGCAGUUACAAGCAAAAAUGAGACACGGUCAAUUAUUUGUAAAUAGGGUCAAUUAAGAAAAGGAUAAAGGAUCAAUUUAUUUUUUAUUUUUUAAACCCCUACCUUCUAUCUUAGAAUCAAUCCUGUAAUUAGUCCCAAGGCAGAAGAGCCAAAAGGGCUAGGCAUGACUUGCCCAGCGGUCACACACCUAGGAAAUGUCUCAAUCCAAAUUUGAACCCAGGACAUCCAAGCUUUUGGCCUUACUCUCAAUCCACUGAGCCACCUACCUGCCCCUAUAAAAUCAAUUUGAAUCUCGGUAGGAUUGGAAAUAUAAGGGAGGAGAAAGAGAGGAAGGAAGGCUGGAAUAAGAAUCAGGCUCCGAUUAUGGGGUGCGAGCUAAAAUGUCUUCUAUAGCCCCUGAGCUCAGAAAUAUCAGCGCUUACUCAGACACCAACAGAGCGAGGGAAAUGUGUAGAC
Monodelphis domestica (gray short-tailed opossum) is the source of this 1577-nucleotide long non-coding RNA. Lineage: Eukaryota; Metazoa; Chordata; Mammalia; Didelphimorphia; Didelphidae. The record is from Ensembl.